GUGAGGAAUAUUCCGCAAUGGGGGAAACCCUGACGGAGCAAUGCCGCGUGCAGGAUGAAGGCCCUCGGGUCGUAAACUGCUUUUAUAUGAGAAGAAUAUGACGGUAACAUAUGAAUAAGGGACGGCUAACUACGUGCCAGCAGCCGCGGUCAUACGUAGGUCCCAAGCGUUAUCCGGAGUGACUGGGCGUAAAGAGUUGCGUAGGCGGCUCGUUAAGCGUGAAAUGAAAUUUAUCGGCUCAACCGGUAAACUAUUUCGCGAACUGACGGGCUCGAGAGUAUGAGAGGUUACUGGAAUUUCUAGUGUAGCAGUGAAAUGCGUAGAUAUUAGAAAGAACACCAACGGCGUAGGCAGGUAACUGGCAUACAUCUGACGCUGAGGCACGAAAGCGUGGGGAGCGAACCGGAUUAGAAACCCCUGUAGUCC
Molecule: ribosomal RNA, 426 nt
Filed under: uncultured bacterium
Lineage: Bacteria
Description: partial 16S ribosomal RNA
Rfam family: Bacterial small subunit ribosomal RNA
Source: RNAcentral